GGGAACGUACCCUUUGGUUCGGAAUAACGCUGGGAAACUAGCGCUAAUACCGGAUACGCCCUUUUGGGGAAAGGCUUGCUGCCGAAGGAUCGGCCCGCGUCUGAUUAGCUAGUUGGUGGGGUAAUGGCCUACCAAGGCGACGAUCAGUAGCUGGUCUGAGAGGAUGAUCAGCCACACUGGGACUGAGACACGGCCCAGACUCCUACGGGAGGCAGCAGUGGGGAAUAUUGGACAAUGGGCGCAAGCCUGAUCCAGCCAUGCCGCGUGAGUGAUGAAGGCCUUAGGGUUGUAAAGCUCUUUUGUCCGGGACGAUAAUGACGGUACCGGAAGAAUAAGCCCCGGCUAACUUCGUGCCAGCAGCCGCGGUAAUACGAAGGGGGCUAGCGUUGCUCGGAAUCACUGGGCGUAAAGGGCGCGUAGGCGGCCAUUCAAGUCGGGGGUGAAAGCCUGUGGCUCAACCACAGAAUUGCCUUCGAUACGGUUUGGCUUGAGUUUGGUAGAGGUUGGUGGAACUGCGAGU
RNAcentral lists this ribosomal RNA (520 nucleotides) under uncultured bacterium. RNAcentral's name for it is "bacterial SSU rRNA". It matches the Rfam family "Bacterial small subunit ribosomal RNA", at positions 120 to 674 of the family's 1533-position model. The record is from RNAcentral.